AACUGAUAUAACAGAAAUAUAGUUAGAGGGGUAUUAUUGUAAUUAGGUUAUAUGGCUAUAUAAGGGAUUAUAUAACAAUCAUUUCAGUAAGUUCAUUUAUAUACAUUUUCUCUAAUCAAUCAAUACAAUCUCUUUUGUUGCUCUUUACCAAUUCUUUCUCUUCCUCUGUACCAAUCUUCAUCUUUUGCAAUGUAGUUAAUAUGGUAUCAGAGCCACCAGGCUAACACCAUUGAUUCUGGUGGUUCCAUUUCUCAUUAUUUUUCAUCUGUUUCUAGCUUAGUUUCUUUCCAAAUUUCUAUUAGAUUUUCUUUGGUGCUUUCGCAAUCGUUCUUCUAAUUCUGGGUUGAUGCGGGUCCUAAGUUUCUCGAACUGGGUCUGGAUGAAAGUUGGGUUUGCGGAUCUGGGUCGGGAUAUUUGAAGAAUGGUGUUCUAGUCAUGUGGGUUUUGGCGGUUGGCGGCGAGUAGGUCGUCGCUGACGAUACGGAUUUGGUCGGAGCCGGAGUUUUUUGGUGUUGUUCUGCUUGUCAAGGGCUCUUCUCUCGCCCUAUCUACUGUGUCUCAGACCAGGGAGCUAUACAAACGGAUUGACAAGCUCGUCGAGUACUCCGCCAACAACGGCCCGGAGUUCGUAGCCAUGAUCCGGGAGAAGAAUUCAUCCCCAUCUUUCUUGCUUGGCUUUGAUGGCAGACCGGCCUUCACGAAUGGGCACAGUGGCGUCCCCAUCUUCUUCUUCUUUCUAUCGACUGUUCGAAUUUUGUUGCUUCCCUUGCGAUUUUGCUAAACUUUAUCCAGCUCCAGGAUAAGCCGACGUUUGGGUUCUGUUCGGAAUUUCUCUUCUGUGUUGCUGAUUGAACAGUGGGAUCUUGGACUUUGUCAAGUUGUUUCUUGUAUCUGUCAUCUUCUUUAUGCAUAUAUGGUGUUUGUGAAAAUGUCUGAAUGAAACUAAAUGCCGCAAUGAGAUCAGUGAUCUAGAGAUUUGGUUCCUUCUUCUGCUAUUCUGCUCUGCGAUCUACCAAUCUGCUUAGGUUUUUGUCGCCCAUCUGCAUUUCCAUUGCGGGGUCUAUUCAUCUGGGUCCAGAUCGAACUGUUUGGUGACUGCCGAUGGUUGCAGUGCUUUGUGAGCAACAUACUACCGACGUCUUUAUUGGAAAAUUGAUUUAGCAGAUGGGAAAUGGAUGAGUCAAUGGAAGAGGCGGCGAACAGAGAGACGCUUGAGGAAGCUGGUGUGAUUGGCCAUCUUGAAACUAGAUUGGGAUCGUGGAUUUACAAGAGCACAAUCGCAAGGAUGACAUUUUACAUCUUGAGAGCGAGACUUUAGAUGAUUUUGGUGAUGUUACAGGCACUAGGAGCAGGCACGGAACUGGGCAGACAGUUGGAAACCAGUAAUUGCAGAUCAGUCUCAAAUACCUGGCUAGUUCAAACUUCACUUGGAUACUCCAAGUUUAGUUUGAGGGGGGAGUAAUAACUGAUAUAACAGAAAUAUAGUUAGAGGGGUAUUAUUGUAAUAGGUAUAUGGCUAUAUAAGGGAUUGUAUAACAAUCAUUUCAGUAAGUUCAUUUGUAUACAUUUUCUUUAAUCAAUCAAUACAAUCUCUUUUGUUGCUCUUUA
This is a long non-coding RNA of Malus domestica (apple), 1608 nucleotides long. RefSeq lists it as uncharacterized. The record is from RefSeq and is a predicted model, not a curated record. NCBI's taxonomy places the organism in Eukaryota, Viridiplantae, Streptophyta, Magnoliopsida, Rosales, Rosaceae.